RNAcentral lists this ribosomal RNA (159 nucleotides) under Olea europaea subsp. europaea. RNAcentral's name for it is "5.8S ribosomal RNA". It matches the Rfam family "5.8S ribosomal RNA". Rfam says of the family: 5.8S ribosomal RNA (5.8S rRNA) is a component of the large subunit of the eukaryotic ribosome. Lineage: Eukaryota; Viridiplantae; Streptophyta; Magnoliopsida; Lamiales; Oleaceae. The record is from Rfam by way of RNAcentral.
AACUCUCGACAACAGAUAUCUUAGCUCUCGCAUCAAUGAAGAACGCAGCAAAAUAUGAUACUUGGUGUGAAUUGCAAAAUCCCGUAAACCAUCGAGUGGUUUUGAGGUGGUAGUUUUGUUGAAUAUGGUGGCGACUAAUUUUUGUCGAUGGCAGUGGCA